Non-coding RNA from Ameiurus melas (black bullhead), 72 nucleotides. Lineage: Eukaryota; Metazoa; Chordata; Actinopteri; Siluriformes; Ictaluridae. The record is from the annotation of a GenBank genome assembly.
GGCACAGUGGCUUAGUGGUCAGCAUGCUUGCCUCGCACCUCAGGGAUUGGGGUUCAAAUCGCACCUCUGCCC